Molecule: ribosomal RNA, 278 nt
Filed under: uncultured bacterium
Lineage: Bacteria
Description: partial 16S ribosomal RNA
Rfam family: Bacterial small subunit ribosomal RNA
Source: RNAcentral
GCAGCCGCGGUAAUACGUAGGUGGCGAGCGUUAUCCGGAUUUACUGGGUGUAAAGGGCGCGUAGGCGGGGGCGCAAGUCAGGUGUGAAAUCUAUGGGCUUAACCCAUAAACUGCACUUGAAACUGCAUCUCUUGAGUGCUGGAGAGGUAGAUGGAAUUCCUUGUGUAGCGGUGAAAUGCGUAGAUAUAAGGAAGAACACCAGUGGCGAAGGCGAUCUACUGGACAGUAACUGACGCUGAGGCGCGAAAGCGUGGGGAGCAAACAGGAUUAGAUACCCC